RNAcentral lists this ribosomal RNA (460 nucleotides) under uncultured bacterium. RNAcentral describes it as "partial 16S ribosomal RNA". It matches the Rfam family "Bacterial small subunit ribosomal RNA", at positions 338 to 795 of the family's 1533-position model. The record is from RNAcentral.
CCUACGGGAGGCAGCAGUGAGGAAUAUUGGGCAAUGGGCGCGAGCCUGACCCAGCCACGCCGCGUGAAUGAUGAAUGCCUUACGGUUGGUAAAUUUCUUUUAUAAGGGAAUAAAGGCAGACACGUCUGCCUGUUUGUAUGUACUGUAUGUGUAAGAAUCGGCUAACUUCGUGCCGGGAGCCCCGGUAAUACGGAGGAUCGGAGCGUUAUCCGGAUUUAUUGUGUUUGAAGGGAGCGUAGAUGGGUUGUUAAGUCAGUUGUGAAAGUUUGCGGCUCAACCUUAAACUUGCAAUUGAUACUGGCAGUCUUGAGUACAGUUGAGGUAGGCGGAAUUCGUGGUGUAGCGGUGAAAUGCGUAGAUAUCACGAAGAACUCCGAUGGCGAAGGCAGCUUACUAAACUGCCACUGACAUUGAUGCUCGAAAGUGUGGGGAUCAAACAGGAUUAGAUACCCGAGUAGUC